UAGAGCAAUUGGUGGACAUGAUAAAAUUCUCCUAUAGUGGAAGUUGUUUCUUAGUAAGACCUUUGGUCAUUCCCACCUUGGCUUUGAGCCAAAAAAUGAUUUGUUGGCCGGGCUGGAUCGAAUUGUGCUUAACUUGAUUGAUUGUGUGAUUCUUGUCAUGCACGGUAGAGUGCUUCUGGAUUCUCCAUUGCUUUAAUAGUUUGCUAAUGAUGUUUUUUUCUCAAUUUUUAUCUCCUUAUUUGUUUCAAUUUUUAUCGUUCUUGUUUUCUUUUCCUUUUUAUUUUGUACCCUUUUUAUCAACUAUCUAUUUUAUUUUAUUUUUCAUAAAAACAAACCUUACGAAACUAUAACAAAACUGAAUUGAUUGAAAAUUAUUUUUCUUUAUCUAUAUCAAUAUGAACAUUAUUAACAAGUGCCUCCACGAUACUUAUUAAGAAAGCAAAAAAGAAAAUAAAUAACCAGUGGCAAAUUACUAUUUUUGCAUCCUUAAUCAGGGUCUCGGAGCACUGUUUAACAUUUUCUAAUAAAUAAUAAGUUAUGAAAAAAAACUAAAAUUUAAAUUCUUAAGUACUAUUUUUAGAGCCUUAACUAAUCACUGAAGAACGCAUUCCUCUGUAAAUAUAAACAAAAUGAAGGAUGAAUUUUUCUAAAAAAAAAAAUAUGAAGGAUGAAUUGGAAUUGGAUGAUUGGAGGAACAAAUCAUGUGAGAACUUUUAUUUAUUUUUUUGUCCGUAAAACCAUGUGAGAGAUUUACCUAGUAACAAAACAAAAGCACGUCUUAUGUUGUCGGAAGUGGGUCCAACAGAACAUAGCAUUAGUACAACUUUUCUUCGAAUAUUUUUAGAAACACAUAGGAAAAACAAUGAUAAUACAUUUGUGGUAAUUUAAAAAAUUAAUUUAUACAGCUAUA
This 910-nucleotide long non-coding RNA is filed under the name Trifolium pratense (red clover). RNAcentral describes it as "long non-coding RNA (TPRA_LNC004165)". Lineage: Eukaryota; Viridiplantae; Streptophyta; Magnoliopsida; Fabales; Fabaceae. The record is from RNAcentral.